GAUGAACGCUAGCUACAGGCUUAACACAUGCAAGUCGAGGGGCAGCGAGAGGAAAGCUUGCUUUCCUUGUCGGCGACCGGCGCACGGGUGAGUAACGCGUAUCCAACCUUCCCCUUAGUAGGGCAUAGCCCGGCGAAAGUCGGAUUAAUACCCUAUGUUUUCCGAUGAGGACAUCUGAGCUGGAACAAAGAUUUAUCGCUAAGGGAUGGGGAUGCGUCUGAUUAGGUUGUUGGCGGGGUAACGGCCCACCAAGCCUACGAUCAGUAGGGGUUCUGAGAGGAAGGUCCCCCACAUUGGUACUGAGACACGGACCAAACUCC
RNAcentral lists this ribosomal RNA (320 nucleotides) under uncultured Prevotella sp. RNAcentral's name for it is "bacterial SSU rRNA". It matches the Rfam family "Bacterial small subunit ribosomal RNA", at positions 28 to 339 of the family's 1533-position model. Lineage: Bacteria; Pseudomonadati; Bacteroidota; Bacteroidia; Bacteroidales; Prevotellaceae. The record is from RNAcentral.